AGACACGGCCCAGACUCCUACGGGAGGCAGCAGUGGGGAAUUUUGGACAAUGGGCGCAAGCCUGAUCCAGCAAUGCCGCGUGAGUGAAGAAGGCCUUCGGGUUGUAAAGCUCUUUUGUCAGGGAAGAAACGGGCUGGGCUAAUACCCUGGUCUAAUGACGGUACCUGAAGAAUAAGCACCGGCUAACUACGUGCCAGCAGCCGCGGUAAUACGUAGGGUGCAAGCGUUAAUCGGAAUUACUGGGCGUAAAGCGUGCGCAGGCGGUUGUGCAAGACCGAUGUGAAAUCCCCGGGCUUAACCUGGGAAUGGCAUUGGUGACUGUACGGCUAGAGUGUGUCAGAGGGGGGUAGAAUUCCACGUGUAGCAGUGAAAUGCGUAGAGAUGUGGAGGAAUACCGAUGGUGAAGGCAGCCCCCUGGGAUAACACUGACGCUCAUGCACGAAAGCGUGGGGAGCAAACAGGAUUAGAUACCCUGGUAGUCCACGCCCUAAACGAUGUCUACUAGUUGUCGGGUCUUCAUUGACUUGGUAACGCAGCUAACGCGUGAAGUAGACCGCCUGGGGAGUACGGUCGCAAGAUUAAAACUCAAAGGAAUUGAC
This 599-nucleotide ribosomal RNA is filed under the name bacterium enrichment culture clone F61x_D10_T3_B02. Its description in RNAcentral is "bacterial SSU rRNA". It matches the Rfam family "Bacterial small subunit ribosomal RNA", at positions 322 to 914 of the family's 1533-position model. The record is from RNAcentral.